CCUACGGGAGGCAGCAGUAGGGAAUCUUUCACAAUGGGCGAAAGCCUGAUGGAGCAACGCCGCGUGCAGGAUGAAGGCCUUCGGGUUGUAAACUGCUUUUAUAAGCGAGAAAUAUGAUGGUAACUUAUGAAUAAGGAUCGGCUAACUACGUGCCAGCAGCCGCGGUCAUACGUAGGAUCCGAGCAUUAUCCGGAGUAACUGGGUGUAAAGAGUUGCGUAGGUGGCAUAAUAAGUAGCUAGUGAAAUCUGGUGGCUCAACCAUUCAGACUAUUAGCUAAACUGUUAAGCUCGAGACCGUUAGGGGUAACUGGAAUUGCUAGUGUAGCGGUGAAAUGCGUAGAUAUUAGGAGGAACACCGGCGGCGAAGGCGGCCUGCUGGACCGCGACUGACGUUGAGGCUCGAAAGCGUGGGGAGCGAACAGGAUUAGAUACCCUGGUAGUC
RNAcentral lists this ribosomal RNA (442 nucleotides) under uncultured bacterium. RNAcentral describes it as "partial 16S ribosomal RNA". It matches the Rfam family "Bacterial small subunit ribosomal RNA", at positions 338 to 795 of the family's 1533-position model. The record is from RNAcentral.